CACCUUGACUGUUGAUUUCUGUAAAGCUGCUUUGAGACAAUGUCUGUUGUGAAAAGCUCUAUAGAAAUAAACUUGACUUGACUAUCUAGGUCUGAUUCCCAUUCCAGAUCUAGAUACAGGGCAAGAUCCACAACCAGAUCUAGGUCCAGGUACAAGUCACAGUCCCCAUAUUACAGGGGGAAAAAAAAGCCAUCAAAGCUUUCUGAGGGCAGUGCACAAAAGGUUAAGAAUCCUGUAUCCGCCACUGCUCAAGCUGUAGAACCCAAAGCGCCUCCAUCUAGUGAAAGUGUCCCAGUGCUUCCUUUGCAUGACAGCCCACCACCUUCUCGAUGGAAACCAGGACAAAAGCCUUGGAAACCACCUUAUGUUCCCAUCCAGGAGAUAAAAGCAAAGAAAGGCUUGCGCUCUGAUAUGUCAAACUCCAGUCAUGCCACUGGAAACAACGUCAAAUGUUCAUGGAAUUUAAGGAAUCCACGUCUCAUAAGGGCCUCAGCAGUAUCAGCCAGUACAGUGGAAAAACCAAGCGACCCGAAGACCCCCGAAAAGGUUCAUCCAGGAGCCGAUUUUCCAGACAUUCAUGAAGCAGAAGUCGCUCUAGUUAUCAGUCCGUGUCACCUGGUCAGUACAGCAGGUCUUCCUCGGCUACUUCCUCUAGCAGGUCGGACUCUUAUUAUUCAUAUAGAAGAACAUCUUCAGAAAGAAAAGAGAAACAUCGUAGUGCUCACCGAAGGGACCAUAAGAGGACCAAGAAUGUGAAAUGUAGCCCUGUCAAAGAAGAUGCAUCUGCCUCCCAUUCAGAUAAUGAAACUGAUUCCACACACGGAGAACUAACAUGAGCACCUGCAUACACAAGAUGGCUGCUGCAGUGUUUUUCUGAACUGUGCAAGGUUUUCAAUCAAGCAAUAAUCCAAAGAAUCCUUUCCAAAACGACAUUUUUUAAAAAGAGAGUGUAAAGAGGAGAUAAAUCAACUUUUAAUUGCAAAAUUGUGGACUUCAAUCAUCUUUUGUGGAAGAAUUUUGGCUGUAGGUGAGCUUUGGGCCUAAUAGGCCUUGAUGACUAAGCCAUGCCACCUAAAGCAACAAACAACAAUACUGAGCAAUAUGCCACCAUGGCUCAAGUAUGUGAAUUGUUGGAACAGCAAAAAGACCUCUUCAGAACCUUGCUUGAUCAACAAGAAAAAAGCUUCAAAACCUGUGUUCAAAUCAUAGUUGAUUCUUUAAACAGGAGAAUUGAUGACUUGUCAAAGCAGGUUUAUGAUUUUAAGCUGCAGUGCGGAUAGGAGGAGAUGCACACCAGAUGGCAGGAGCUGCAGUGUGUAUAGCAGCUAUUCCAACUUUAUUUCUCGCAAUUCCAACAUUUUUUCUCGCAAGUGGAUUUAAUUGCGAGGCCAGAGACGACGCUUAUAUAACAGUCGUGGUCCAAAUUAUGUUUGGCAUGUGGAUUGGUAUGACAAACUAAAACUCUAUGGAAUAUGUAUCAUGGCUUCUCCAGAAAAGUGAUCUGGCGUGAAGCAUACAAAACCAACAAUGACCCACAAGUAGUCACAGAAUAUAUUAUAACUGCUGUCAUCAAUAAUAACAGAUGUCCACAAAUGCUGCGUCUUGACCAUGGAUCUGAAAACACCCACAUUGUAGCAAUGCACAGAGUGUGACUCUUGGUUCAAGUACUGGAAAUCAAAGACCUGAAUAUUUGUGGGCCACCUUGAGAAGCCAGCAGUUUUGGAUGGACCAUUCUAAACAGCUGAGAUUCAUGCCAGAUUAAUCAGUUUCUCCUAUUAGAGGUCGCCACAGCGGAUCAUCCGUCUGCAUACCCCCCCGGAUAUUUUUAUCCGUGGAAACAAACAUAUCUGAGUAAAUGUAAUGUUGACUAAUGCUGAUUCUUUUGCCCAUUUUUAAUAGUUAAAAGAAAAUAGGUUUAAUAAAAGUGUAAUUAAAAAUAAAUGACAUUAAAGUACAGGUGCUUAAUGUUUCUUUAUUAAACUUAAAGAUAUUUGAACACUUUCAUCAGUACAUCAUUCACUGUCUUCGAACCAUUUCUUAGUUAGAAGAUCCAAUUGUUAAAAGUGACCACUCUAAGCAUCAUUUGGAGCAUUUCAACAUUGAACAUUUGAUCAUUUUGAACAUUUUAAGACUACUGUACAUCGUUCACAACAACUUUUACUUUUCCAGCUGAGAGAUAAAAAAACAGAUUUAAUCCCCACACCAUUUAAAUGAUAAACAAUAAAUCGGCUAGUUGCAAGAGUAGUAAAGUCCACGUCAAUUAACCAGUAAACUGUAAUAACAACUAGAACAUGGAGACAAGUUUUCAUUUAAUUUUCCCCAAUACCAGGAUUGUCUUCCAGAAUUAUUAACAAAAAUAGCAAACAGGCUAUUUGUAUUUAUGUUGGUGCCACACCUUGUGGUUUAAGUGAAAUUAAAAAAUUCAAGAGGUCUUACUAAACAGCUUAUUGUAUUGGGAAUGCUUCAUAAAAUUAAAGCACCAUGUAAAAAAAAAAAACAUUAGGAAAUUAUUACAAAUUAUAUCAACAGGCUCAGGCACUACACUGUCCAUGAUCCACACUUUACUCAUACAUUGUUUGCACACUUCUGUUGAUCUAAACGUUGAUCCAGCCAGAUGUUUACAUGUACACUAUUUAUUUCUAUGUGUAUACAGACAAUCGAUUUUGCACAACCAUCUGUACUGUACUGGUCGGUGCUACUGUGUUACUGUUUUUCCUUGUCUCAUGAUGUCUCCUGUCCCCUUAUCCUCCCCCUUUUGCACUAAAUGUUGCACAUGUGGACUUUGUGUUUUUAGUUUAGAGUUCUGUGUAGUUCUGUGUUGCUUUUGUUAAUUUAUGUUGUUUGCUGUAGCGCCAUGGUAAUGGAGAAACCUUGUUUUGUUUCACUGUGUACUGCACUGUAUAUAGUUGAAAUGACAAUAAAGACUACUUUAACCUUAUUCAUUUCAGACCUAAAAUCAGUGUAGCUUUCAUAAUGAAUCGAAAGCCUUAGAAAGCGUCUGCAGUUGCCACUCUUCAGCAGCUGCAGUGGUCUAAGACGUCCGAUAAUUCCUUCUGGUCUGAAUUUCGGAAGUCUGUUUGGCAGGAUUCCAAGGCAAUGUGUUCAGACAUACUUUAGAAAGUUAUCAAUAAGAUUACUUUUCACAUAUGCGAGGGCUGCUUACUUUAAGAUUACUAGAGCAAGGUUAAUGGGGAGGCAUUUCUCUUCUUGCCAACCAAAAGAAAUGAUCCACUCAAAACUCUCCUAUGUUUGCAUUCCAUAAUCAUACAGAAGUAAGGGUACCUUGAAGGUGUGGCCCAAUGCACAUUGUUUAUAGAAUCCAUGCCAGAAUUCAGAAAGGCAAUUUCUAAGAACCCCCCCUUCAUGCUGUCCCAUCUCAUAUUGUCCAUUUGGAAGCAGAAGCUGUAUUUGAAUUUCAGACUGUGUAUGAGUCAGAUUUUUACGUGAUGACAUGAUGGAUGACUAGAAUAAUUUUUCUGGUGUCAAAGGCAAGGUAUCUUCCAGGCUUUGCUCUUUAGUUAUA
Molecule: long non-coding RNA, 3523 nt
Organism: Silurus meridionalis
Lineage: Eukaryota; Metazoa; Chordata; Actinopteri; Siluriformes; Siluridae
Exons: 6
Source: RefSeq, a predicted model, not a curated record